This 421-nucleotide ribosomal RNA is filed under the name uncultured Actinomycetes bacterium. RNAcentral's name for it is "bacterial SSU rRNA". It matches the Rfam family "Bacterial small subunit ribosomal RNA", at positions 233 to 671 of the family's 1533-position model. The record is from RNAcentral. Lineage: Bacteria; Bacillati; Actinomycetota; Actinomycetes.
GCGGCCUAUCAGCUUGUUGGGGAGGUAACGGCUCACCAAGGCUUCGACGGGUAGCUGGUCUGAGAGGAUGAUCAGCCGCACUGGGACUGAGACACGGCCCAGACUCCUACGGGAGGCAGCAGUGGGGAAUCUUGCGCAAUGGGCGAAAGCCUGACGCAGCCACGCCGCGUGCGGGAUGAAGGCCCUAGGGUUGUAAACCGCUUUUAACAGGAACGAAAAUGACGGUACCUGUAGAAUAAGGUGCGGCAACUACGUGCCAGCAGCCGCGGUGACACGUAGGCACCAAGCGUUGUCCGGAUUUAUUGGGCGUAAAGAGCUCGUAGGCGGUUCAGUAAGUCGGGUGUGAAAACUCUGGGCUCAACCCGGAGACGCCAUCCGAUACUACUAUGACUUGAGUUCAGGAGGGGAGACUGGAAUUCCU